UUUGCCAUUUGUUUCCAAGACGCUGACUGAAAGUGUAUUCCAAAUUCAUUACGGAAUUGCGGUGUCGAUCUACAUUUUCAGCCAUGAAAUGGCAAUCUGGCAUAUAAUUUCACUUGGCCAAAUAAUCUGACGACGUGGGUCGAUACUGUGUCCAUUUUGCCGAAAUGUCGGCCAUUGUUAAGCUGUACCUAUACGGCUGUACGUCUCAUUUCGUGCAGAAACACUUCAGAGCUAGUAAAUUGAUUUUCAGGUCGAAAAUGGAGAUCCCUUUGCUCAACUGUUGCAGGAAUUUAGAACAAGACAAAGUCUGAGCUUCAUGGCUGUAGGAUCAUUAAUGUGAUUUUGUUGCAGCCAGCUGGUGAAAGGUGUGAUCGAGUCAUGGUUGAGUUACAGCUUCUGCAUGCAGUUUAUCGAGCUGGUGCUAUCCCAAGUGUAACUGCAGGAAAACUUCUUGAAUUGCUAGGUGAAGUCUGCGCUUCUUUGUUGCAGUCUAAUUUGUGCUUGGAUUCAUUGCAGUCAUCCAGUGAAAGGUGUGAUUAAAUUGAGCUGUUGCAUGCAGUCUUUGGUGCUGAUGUUGUCCUGGAGUGUGGGAGAGUCCCAUGCUUCAAGUCUUCUGGGAUCAGUCAUAUCUGAGUUGACGCUGGAUCAUGCUGCAUUGUGGUUGCUGAAAUGUUGGACAUCUAGUAGAACUGCAAGAAGACUCCUUGAAAUGGUUUAUGUUUACGUAGCAGUGAUGUUGCAGUCCAAUAUGGCAUGUUGUUGCAGCCUAU
This 770-nucleotide long non-coding RNA is filed under the name Daphnia pulex (common water flea). RNAcentral describes it as "uncharacterized LOC124199289, transcript variant X2". The record is from RNAcentral. Lineage: Eukaryota; Metazoa; Arthropoda; Branchiopoda; Diplostraca; Daphniidae.